UACGUAGGUGGCAAGCGUUGUCCGGAUUUACUGGGCGUAAAGAGCGCGCAGGCGGUCGUUCAAGUCGCGUGUGAAAGCCCAUGGCUCAACCAUGGAAGUGCACCCGAAACUGCGUCGCUAGAGUCUCGGAGAGGAAGGUGGAAUGCUUGGUGUAGAGGUGAAAUUCGUAGAUAUUGGGAAGAACACCGAUGGCGAAGGCAGCCAUCUGGACCGACACUGACGCUGAGGCGCGAAAGCGUGGGGAGCAAACAGG
Molecule: ribosomal RNA, 253 nt
Filed under: uncultured bacterium
Lineage: Bacteria
Description: partial 16S ribosomal RNA
Rfam family: Bacterial small subunit ribosomal RNA
Source: RNAcentral